Molecule: ribosomal RNA, 505 nt
Filed under: uncultured bacterium
Lineage: Bacteria
Description: bacterial SSU rRNA
Rfam family: Archaeal small subunit ribosomal RNA
Source: RNAcentral
AACCUCCGCAAUGUGAGAAAUCGCGACGGGGGGAUCCCAAGUGCCAUUCUUAACGGGAUGGCUUUUCAUUAGUGUAAAGAGCUUUUGGAAUAAGGGCUGGGCAAGACCGGUGCCAGCCGCCGCGGUAACACCGGCAGCUCUAGUGGUAGCAGUUUUUAUUGGGCCUAAAGCGUCCGUAGCCGGUUUAAUAAGUCUCUGGUGAAAUCCUGUAGCUUAACUGUGGGAAUUGCUGGAGAUACUAUUAGACUUGAGACCGGGAGAGGUUAGAGGUACUCCCAGGGUAGAGGUGAAAUUCUGUAAUCCUGGGAGGACCGCCUGUUGCGAAGGCGUCUAACUGGAACGGUUCUGACGGUGAGGGACGAAAGUUAGGGGCGCGAAACCGGAUUAGAUACCCGGGUAGUCCUAACUGUAAACGAUGCGGACUUGGUGUUGGGGUGGCUUUGAGCUGUCCACGUGUCGACGGGAAGGACGUGUUAGUUACCGUCCGCCCGUCGGUAAGGGUAAC